UGGGGGAUAUUGCACAAUGGGCGAAAGCCUGAUGCAGCGACGCCGCGUGGGGGAUGAAGGCCUUCGGGUUGUAAACUUCUUUUGCUCUGAACAAGGCAUGCUAAUGGGUGUGUUGAGUGUAGGGGUUCAUUAGCGCCGGCUAACUACGUGCCAGCAGCCGCGGUAAUACGUAGGGCGCGAGCGUUGUCCGGAAUUAUUGGGCGUAAAGGGCUUGUAGGUGGCUGGUUGCGUCUGUCGUGAAAGCUCAUGGCUUAACUGUGGGUUUGCGGUGGGUACGGGCUGGCUUGAGUGCAGUAGGGGAGGCUGGAAUUCCUGGUGUAGCGGUGGAAUGCGCAGAUAUCAGGAGGAAUACCGGUGGCGAAGGCGGGUCUCUGGGCUGUUACUGACACUGAGGAGCGAAAGCAUGGGGAGCGAACAGG
RNAcentral lists this ribosomal RNA (419 nucleotides) under bacterium. RNAcentral describes it as "partial 16S ribosomal RNA". It matches the Rfam family "Bacterial small subunit ribosomal RNA", at positions 355 to 776 of the family's 1533-position model. The record is from RNAcentral.